Salmo salar (Atlantic salmon) is the source of this 59-nucleotide non-coding RNA. The record is from Rfam. NCBI's taxonomy places the organism in Eukaryota, Metazoa, Chordata, Actinopteri, Salmoniformes, Salmonidae.
UGAUGCCCCUCACCCACCCCUAAAGAUCCCAGGUGGGCGAGGGAAUGACCAGCGGGAUC